RNAcentral lists this ribosomal RNA (699 nucleotides) under uncultured bacterium. Its description in RNAcentral is "bacterial SSU rRNA". It matches the Rfam family "Bacterial small subunit ribosomal RNA", at positions 1 to 707 of the family's 1533-position model. The record is from RNAcentral.
AGGAGUUUGAUCCUGGCUCAGGACGAACGCUGGCGGCGUGCUUAAUGCAUGCAAGUCGAACGAAGAACCCACUAUGGGUAACCACUGUGGAUUUCUUAGUGGCGAACGGGUGAGUAACACGUGAGAAACCUGCCCCGGAGACCGGAAUAGCCCAGGGAAACCUGGAUUAAUACCGGAUACCCUCUUGCGAUCGCAUGAUCGAUUGAGGAAAUGGUCCGCCGCUCCGGGAUGGUCUCGCGCCCUAUCAGCUAGUUGGUGAGGUAACGGCUCACCAAGGCAAUGACGGGUAGCUGGUCUGAGAGGACGAUCAGCCACACUGGGACUGAGACACGGCCCAGACUCCUACGGGAGGCAGCAGCAGGGAAUUUUGCACAAUGGGCGAAAGCCUGAUGCAGCGACGCCGCGUGGGGGAUGAAUGCCUUCGGGUUGUAAACCCCUUUCAGGAGGGACGAAGCGAAAGUGACGGUACCUCCAGAAGAAGCCCCGGCCAACUACGUGCCAGCAGCCGCGGUAAUACGUAGGGGGCGAGCGUUGUCCGGAUUUAUUGGGCGUAAAGAGCUCGUAGGCGGCUCAGCAAGUCGGUCGUGAAAACCUGAGGCUCAACCUCAGGACGCCGGUCGAAACUGCUGUGGCUAGGGUUCGGUAGAGGAGAGUGGAAUUCCCGGUGUAGCGGUGAAAUGCGCAGAUAUCGGGAGGAAC